GACGAACGCUGGCGGCGUGCCUAAUACAUGCAAGUCGAACGCACAGUUUAUACCGUAGCUUGCUACACCAUAGACUGUGAGUUGCGAACGGGUGAGUAACGCGUAGGUAACCUGCCUGGUAGCGGGGGAUAACUAUUGGAAACGAUAGCUAAUACCGCAUAAUAUUGAUUAUUGCAUGAUAAUUGAUUGAAAGAUGCUAUUGCAUCACUACCAGAUGGACCUGCGUUGUAUUAGCUAGUAGGUGAGGUAACGGCUCACCUAGGCGACGAUACAUAGCCGACCUGAGAGGGUGAUCGGCCACACUGGGACUGAGACACGGCCCAGACUCCUACGGGAGGCAGCAGUAGGGAAUCUUCGGCAAGGGACGAAAGUCUGACCGAGCAACGCCGCGUGAGUGAAGAAGGGUUUCGGAUCGUAAAGCUCUGUUGUAAGAGAAGAACGGGGGUGAGAGUGGAAAGUUCACACUGUGACGGUAGCUUACCAGAAAGGGACGGCUAACUACGUG
This 505-nucleotide ribosomal RNA is filed under the name uncultured bacterium. Its description in RNAcentral is "partial 16S ribosomal RNA". It matches the Rfam family "Bacterial small subunit ribosomal RNA", at positions 28 to 507 of the family's 1533-position model. The record is from RNAcentral.